AAGCCCAAAAGAAAAAAAAAGGGGAUGAAGAACGAACUAUAUAUGGGUGUUUAAUGGGUGAACUUGUGAUUUAAAAUUUGGUUGGCACGAGAAUUUAAAUCUUGGCGAACGUUAUGACUUGAAUUUCAGUUGGCACGAGAGUUUGAAUCGUGGUGGAUGUUGUGAAUCUGAAUCUUAGUGGGCACCAAGAUUUGAUUUUUGAUAGGAUUUGAGGUAUUUAUGUUAGGGUGUGUUGCGAUGCGCUUUAAGGUGAGGCACGCAACGCUUGCACGACACGUUAGAGAAGAAGCACCAUUCUCUGGGUUCAAGCUGGUGCUCGCCACCUGGGAUAGUAUGAAACUAUCUAAGGAUCUGCAUAUGAUGGCAUGCUUAACUUGAUUUUGUCUCAAGCGGCUUGGUCGGAUUGGGUUCGAUUCAGACAGGCCAUGGGCUUACAAAACCUUGGUUGAGAGCCAUAAGGUUAAAAAGGCUGGAGCUUGGCUCAAGCUCUAUCGCGUGUUACCUUGGUCAAUGACGCUUUUGACUUGGAAUGAAUUUAAAGAUAAACAUAUACUCUAAAACUAAACAAGAUCUUUUUCAGUUUUAAUAUGUAUUAACAAAAGUCUGAAACCAUAUAUAUUGUGUUACAGCAUAAACGAGCUUCACUUUCAAUUCACUCACUAAUAAGAAAGCGUCACUUUCAUCCAGCUAACAUAACAUACUUUGCAAACCAAAACAAAUAAUAAAAAGCCAGUUUAUUGAAAAGAGUUCUACGCUAUUUUCUAAAACAAGCACAAUAAGUCCAAAUGAAUUAUCACCGUGAUGCCACCCCUGCUGCGUCCUGGUUCGGCAACGAACAAUUUUGAAGCGGAGUUGGAGGGGAGACAAUCAGAAAAUAAAUGGAGGAGCUCCAGUUGCAGGCUCAUCCGCCUCGGCGUCUGUUUGGUACAACACAAACGCAUUUGAUGAUCACAACAUCGAAAAAAUAAAGCAUGUGUAUCUCGUACAAAAGGAAAAUGAUCCACCAAAACCUCGAGUCCUCAUGUGAGAAACAAUUGAGUCCUGGGGGUGCCCCGCUCUUUUGGCGCGUGCUCUUUGUGGUGGGCCGUAAUACGUUCUUGCAGUACGGUGUAAGUGUGCAAGCUGUUUCUUUUGAGGCACCGGACUGUACAUUGGAGCACGUUUAUAUUGCGACGCACAUGGCUACUUCUGCGCCGGGAUCGGCUAACCAUGCUCUGUUCUGGCUGACCUUGCAACUUAUGGUCGUGGAGACUAAAAAGUGUAGCUAGUAUAUGAUUCUCUUGGUCCAGGAUGGGAGUAAUUUGGCUGAUUUAACACCGACAGCGAAGGACCUAAGAACCUGGCGUCAAUUAACUCAAACAGCGUCAAAAGAUUCUGCAAAGCUACCAUCUCUAUUUCUUAAUAAAAUACAUUUUAUUUGCUUAUUUCCUUUUUGUAUUGAGGUUGGACGUUUGGAAAGGAUAAAUAGGUUCACCUCAAAAAGGAAAUGAAAAGUAGUUGUCAAAGUCGUUUUGAGAAACGUGGCCACAUCACUACAAAGCCGAAGAAUUGGUAAAACCGGGUUACUACAUUGUGAACAAAUUGUUCCAAGGCUUCUGUAGUCAAAGGAAGGUAGAUGGCAUCUCUAUGUGAUGAUUGGAAAGGUAUCACUGAAGGAUAAAACCAGAAAGUGGUGGUAACCCUGGCCAAGUCAAUGCUUAAGGAAAAUUGUUGCUACCUUAUGGCAAGCAGUCUCCUCUUUCGGAUGACAUAUUUAGACACAGUCACGUAACUGAACAUGAAUCCGACAGAGCAGUUGGAAAGGGACUGUGCAGUUGUGUGCAACUCUCAAAAGAAAGAACCAAGUGAAUCCAAAUAAAGCUUUCUUGAUUUCUGAAAGGAACCAGCAUAGAUUAGUAGUCGAAGUCUUCUGGUCAGUGCCGGACGAUUGAAAGCUUCGGUUCCAUCCCUCCUUUUGUCUGUCAGGUGAACCCCGAAGAAAGAAUGGGAAGAGUUCCUGACGCGACAGGAUGGCUAAGCCCGCGUGGCAAAGCUUGGAUAGGGAGCCCUGUCCUGACUUCGGUAUCAAAUGGUCCGAUAUUCCUAAUCAAGGUAAAUGUUUUUCUUAGGAAAAAAGGGCACAAUUUGGACCGAUUUGGCUUGCAACUGGGGCUUUUUUUUUUGCCACCACCGACCUUUCCAGCCAGUCUCGUGGAAUGCCGUCGCCUCUUUAACGGCCUGCGAAUGCCGUCGGUGCCUGAACUCCCUCGAGCUUAAACUUCACCCAAUGAAGUCCAAAACGUGCCUGAUUUUCCGACAGAAAACAUGAGCCUUGCAAAAGGAGUAAGGUCCCCGAGUAAAACUGAAGUAGGAUCAGUUCUCCCCUGUCGAGCUCUUGCCACGGAAGGAACAGAGGGUGUUUCUUGUUUUAUGCUCUGAGAGACGUCCGGUUUGCUUACUACAACUAUUUAGUACGUGUCUACGUGUUGCGUGUUGGUCUGUCUCUGGAGUCUUUGUUUAUAAAGCCCAUGUUGACUGUAACUAGUAAAGCCCACAAGUGAGUCAGUUGCAAAUAGGGUGGCUCAACCUGAUGGGCAGCUCUAUUCCAUGUGUGUAUCCUUUUCCAAGUCAUGAGUCAGUAAAACAUUGUGAGGUAUGUCUUUGUUAUGUGAUAUUGAUUAGUAUGUGAACCUGAAUGUGGUGAUUGGUUUUGGCUA
Panicum hallii is the source of this 2696-nucleotide RNA transcript. RefSeq lists it as uncharacterized. NCBI's taxonomy places the organism in Eukaryota, Viridiplantae, Streptophyta, Magnoliopsida, Poales, Poaceae. The transcript is spliced from 4 exons. The record is from RefSeq and is a predicted model, not a curated record.